CGGGCCACUUAGCCUUACAACUCAAGAAUUUAAAAGUAUUGAGGAAAUUUUUAUUUGAUGUUUUGCUUGCCCUUGAUAGAAAAGGCAUCUGUAUGGACUUGCCAACUGUAGUUUUUGGAAGGACUCACCCUGGACGAUCCUCCGGGCCAUCCCAUACGCUCCCUUCUCUCCGCUCUAGGAUUCUGCUCUACUUGGAGAAAACUGGGCAGUUCUGGCUGGUUUCCUACUUCGGGGUUGAAGGUGCCAAGCCAAGGUUUGGCCUGGAGUCUCUUCGAGACGCGGAGCACCUCUGACCCCUACUGGCCGCUAGCGGUAUCACAUCUCUAGAACGGCCAGGACUCGAGUACGUGAUGACAUGCAGCAACUACUCCCGGCCUUCCCCGUGUUUGAUUGGCAAAGCCUCAUGAAAUUGAACACUGAGGAAGAUUUCAAGAAAGGAAGUUGCAAAUGGUUUGCAUGCAAUGGAGACAAAUAGACCUGAGCAUAAAUCACAACCUGGCCACCUACCAGAGAUGUCUCUUUGAACAUAUCAAAGAGGAACAUGUCAGCUCCUCUGCACCUUGGUUUCAUUGUCUGUGAAAGGAAAUGACAGGAAAUAGAAUAUAUGUUGAAUACAUAAACGAAAAGAAUACAUGGACACAUCCUUGUUGGUAAGAUCAGAAAAAAAUAAAUGUAAAGCAUUUACAGUACUGCAAAGUACACAGAAACAGAAAAAGUUCAUUGAGAUCAUUUAAUCUUUCUGUGUAUCAAAUAUCCUGAAGUCUUCCCAGCCAAUAUAUAUGUAGUGCAGAACUAUUUGGGAAUGGGGGACAAAAGGCAA
Molecule: long non-coding RNA, 820 nt
Organism: Chinchilla lanigera (long-tailed chinchilla)
Lineage: Eukaryota; Metazoa; Chordata; Mammalia; Rodentia; Chinchillidae
Exons: 3
Source: RefSeq, a predicted model, not a curated record